GAUGAACGCUGGCGGCGUGCCUAAUACAUGCCAGUCGAGCGAACAGACGAGGAGCUUGCUCCUUUGACGUUAGCGGCGGACGGGUGAGUAACACGUGGGUAACCUACCUAUAAGACUGGGAUAACUUCGGGAAACCGGAGCUAAUACCGGAUAAUAUUUCGAACCGCAUGGUUCGAUAGUGAAAGAUGGCUUUGCUAUCACUUAUAGAUGGACCUGCGCCGUAUUAGCUAGUUGGUAAGGUAACGGCUUACCAAGGCAACGAUACGUAGCCGACCUGCGAGGGUGAUCGGCCACACUGGAACUGAGACACGGUCCAGACUCCUACGGGAGGCAGCAGUAGGGAAUCUUCCGCAAUGGGCGAAAGCCUGACGGAGCAACGCCGCGUGAGUGAUGAAGGUCUUCGGAUCGUAAAACUCUGUUAUUAGGGAAGAACAAACGUGUAAGUAACUGUGCACGUCUUGACGGUACCUAAUCAGAAAGCCACGGCUAACUACGUG
RNAcentral lists this ribosomal RNA (497 nucleotides) under uncultured bacterium. RNAcentral's name for it is "partial 16S ribosomal RNA". It matches the Rfam family "Bacterial small subunit ribosomal RNA", at positions 28 to 507 of the family's 1533-position model. The record is from RNAcentral.